CCCUUAGAUGUCCUGGGCCGCACGCGCGUUACACUGAUGCAUUCAACGAGCUUAUAACCUUGGCCGAGAGGCCUGGGCAAUCUUGUUAACGUGCAUCGUGAUAGGGAUAGAUUAUUGAAAUAUUAAUCUUGAACGAGGAAUUCCUAGUAAACGCAGAUCAUCAAUCUGCAUUGAUUACGUCCCUGCCCUUUGUACACACCGCCCGUCGCACCUACCGAUUGGAUGGUCCGGUGAAGCCUCGGGAUUGUGGUUCUUGCCGCUUUAUUGUGGCGUGACCGCGAGAACUUGUCUAAACCUUAUCAUCUAGAGGAAGGUGAAGUCGUAACA
This 327-nucleotide ribosomal RNA is filed under the name uncultured eukaryote. RNAcentral's name for it is "partial 18S ribosomal RNA". It matches the Rfam family "Eukaryotic small subunit ribosomal RNA", at positions 1470 to 1796 of the family's 1831-position model. The record is from RNAcentral.